This is a small nuclear RNA of Dermacentor andersoni, 183 nucleotides long. RefSeq annotates it as U2 spliceosomal RNA. Lineage: Eukaryota; Metazoa; Arthropoda; Arachnida; Ixodida; Ixodidae. The record is from RefSeq and is a predicted model, not a curated record.
AUAACCGAUGCGGGUCAAAGCGUAGUAUCUGUUCUGAUCAGCCUAAUAUCUGACACGGUUUGUAUUUGGACGUAAGAUGUUAAACUUAUUGUUGCAAGUUGGCGAAGAAAUGCUUGAAGCCUGCUUCAUCUCCGCCGCGAGUCGGCCCGGUGUUACACUAUCUUCGGGAUCGAUCCACGUAUG